This 547-nucleotide ribosomal RNA is filed under the name Mylabris hieracii. Its description in RNAcentral is "partial 16S ribosomal RNA". It matches the Rfam family "Bacterial large subunit ribosomal RNA", at positions 1797 to 2619 of the family's 2925-position model. The record is from RNAcentral. Lineage: Eukaryota; Metazoa; Arthropoda; Insecta; Coleoptera; Meloidae.
CGCCUGUUUAUCAAAAACAUGUCCUUUUGUUAAUUGUUUAAGGUCUGGCCUGCUCCAUGAGUGUUAAAUAGCCGCAGUAUUUUGACUGUGCAAAGGUAGCAUAAUCAUUAGUUUUUUAAUUGAAAGCUGGAAUGAAUGGUCGGAUGAGGAAAUUACUGUCUCAUGUUAAUUUAAUUGGAAUUUUAUUUUUAAGUUAAAAAGCUUAAAUGUUAUAAAAAGACGAGAAGACCCUAUAGAGUUUAAUAAGUAAAAAAUAUAGGGAAUUAAAGAGUUAAUUUUUCUUGUAUUUUGACUUAUUUUGUUGGGGUGACAUAGAAUUGGAUAUAACUUCUUUAAAUAAGCACACUGAUUAGUGAAUAAAUGAUCCUUUUAUAAAGAUUAUAAGAUUAAAUUACCUUAGGGAUAACAGCGUAAUUUUUUCAGAGAGUUCUAAUCGAUGAAAGAGAUUGCGACCUCGAUGUUGGAUUAAAGUUAAUUUCUGGUGCAGAAGCUAGGAUAUUGAGUCUGUUCGACUUUUAAAACUUUACGUGAUCUGAGUUUAGACCGG